GACGAACGCUGGCGGCGUGCCUAACACAUGCAAGUCGAGCGGAGAUGUACUGAAGAUUUAUCGGAUGUACAUCUUAGCGGCGGACGGGUGAGUAACGCGUGGGCAACCUGCCUUUCACUGGGGGAUAACACAGGGAAACCUGUGCUAAUACCGCAUGACAUCACGUAGGGCAUCCUAUGUGAUCAAAGGAGAGAUCCGGUGGAAGAUGGGCCCGCGUCCAAUUAGCUGGUUGGUGAGGUAAAGGCUCACCAAGGCGACGAUUGGUAGCCGAACUGAGAGGUUGAUCGGCCACAUUGGGACUGAGACACGGCCCAGACUCCUACGGGAGGCAGCAGUGGGGAAUAUUGCGCAAUGGGGGGAACCCUGACGCAGCAACGCCGCGUGAAGGAAGAAGGUCUUCGGAUUGUAAACUUCUUUGAUGAGGGACGAAUAAAGUGACGGUACCUCAAAACAAGCCACGGCUAACUACGUGCCAGCAGCCGCGGUAAUAGUCACG
RNAcentral lists this ribosomal RNA (496 nucleotides) under uncultured bacterium. Its description in RNAcentral is "bacterial SSU rRNA". It matches the Rfam family "Bacterial small subunit ribosomal RNA", at positions 28 to 531 of the family's 1533-position model. The record is from RNAcentral.